CGGCAAUAGCUCAAAUUUGAAAUCUGGCUCUUUCAGGGUCCGAGUUGUAAUUUGCAGAGGGCGCUUUGGCGUCGGCAGCAGCCCAAGUUCCUUGGAACAGGUCAUCAUAGAGGGUGAGAAUCCCGU
Molecule: ribosomal RNA, 126 nt
Filed under: Pleosporales sp.
Lineage: Eukaryota; Fungi; Ascomycota; Dothideomycetes; Pleosporales
Description: partial large subunit ribosomal RNA
Rfam family: Eukaryotic large subunit ribosomal RNA
Source: RNAcentral